Long non-coding RNA from Aquila chrysaetos chrysaetos, 3422 nucleotides. RefSeq lists it as uncharacterized. The transcript has 3 exons. NCBI's taxonomy places the organism in Eukaryota, Metazoa, Chordata, Aves, Accipitriformes, Accipitridae. The record is from RefSeq and is a predicted model, not a curated record.
ACACAAAUGGUGACGGUGCAAAUCACUGCUGCCUUUAUUGGCCCCAGUCAUAACCUGGUACAGCUGGUGUCUGCUGGCCUGGGAUUUUCCGAGGGCUCCUGCAGCAGAGCAGGUUGCAGGCUGAUUGAGACAUGUUUGGUGGUUCAGCCAGGUUUGCCACAAGGGGGGGUGAAGAACAGAAACCAUCUGUGGAAAUUUACUGACUCUCUGACGAUCUCAUGACUUCUUGCUAAAUCUGAAAAUUCCCAGUACAACAGGAAUAAUUGUUUCUAAACCGCCUGUGCGGCCUUUCAUCAUUUACCUGAAUAUUGCAUGGUCGUUAGCACUUUUUUUGUCAGUGAUAGACAGCAGUCCAUCAUUUGCCAAAAGGGUGGAAGAUAAGGAAUUCAUUAGUCAAGACACUAGUUUCUAGUACAAAGAACUUCCAUACAGAUGGUGAAUUUUAAAUAUAUAUAUAUAUUUUCAACAAAUUAGCACAUAGCGUGCCAACUCUUGUGAAAUAUGUGCACAUUAGGAUUAUGAGUGGGAGCAAAUAAGGUUGUGAGGAAUCUUUCUGCGGCUUCUGUUUUCAAACAGUGAUUUGCAAAGUCUUUUUCUUGUCUCUUUUUUUUGUUUGUUUUAAAGGUUAAUAUGUACGAAGCUCUUUAAAUCAUCUGAAGUGGAUCAUGCUUAUGUCUAAGAGAUAAGGAGGGAUUUGUCUGUCUGACAAACUUCCCCUCUGUUUUUAGAGAAGGUUGGUAUUUUCAGAAGUGGUAAAAUACCACCGAGUGCAAAAUGCAGGGCGUAGUGAAAAUCAGAGUUCUGCCAGUUUAUGGGCUGAGCAAAAACUGUUGAAAUGCAAGAUGUUUCAAGGCCCAGCUCUGUGUCCUGCACAAGAAAAGCCUCCAGUGAUGUCUCUAAGUAAAGAUUUCAGUCUCCAGCCCAUGAAAGAUCAAUGUAAUACCUACUGCAAAGCCAAUAGGAAUUUUGCCUUCAGGACAAUUUAUGUUCUUAGUCACCUCUAUACUGGACCAUAUCAUCUAUCCAUCAGAAUUAAUGGUGUUUAUUUAAAAACUUGAGGGAAGGAAAGAGGAAAAAGCCAGGAGAAACCAGAGAAAAUUGCCCUGACUCUAUGUUGUGCCUCUGGGCAGGGCACAAAGUGAAUCUGAAAUAAUGUAAUUUCUAAGUAAGCCAUGGCUAGAAGUAGAAACUGCAACAGUGAUAAAAGACCACCAGUACAGUCAACUCAAGCAGCAUUAAAGGCAAUGGCCAGCAGAGCCUGCAAAGUUUGUUCAGUGCACAGUGCAAGGCCCUGAUAGGGCUAGUAAUGCUGUGCAGGCUGGUUUUGCUUUAAUAUUUUUGAUAAGGCUUUGUAAAGACAAGGGACUGGCUCAUGCAGCUGUACUGAAGUCAUGUAGAUCUGCCUAUUUAGGAUUGCUUUUAGGGCUGGGGAUGAAGGGACAAGAAACCAAUGUACUUUGGAGAGGGGAAAAGCAGAAGCAGACUGAAAAAAGCAGAAAAAUCAAGCAGAAUAAGAGAAGUGUGUGGUGUGAAUAGAUCAUUUGGGUCAUGGGGCUUUUAAAGUGACUUACGCCUUAAGGUGGCGAGAUGCCUUAUUUAUUUGUGGGAUAUAGGGUCUUAACAUGAUGGACCCCAAGAGGUAGUCCAUGACCAGGCUAGCUCUGUUUCAUACACAUCCUUUUCUGCUGUGACCUAGGAGAUGACAAGGAGUAGAUGCGAGGACAGUAGGAAUUUCAGCAGCUAAAGGCCACCUCAAGCACCCCUGUGCAGGCAUAAACUCAACUUGCAAGUCCUUGUCGCUAGAGCUAUGCGGUGCUAAUGAGGGUCCCUCAGCUGGUAUCUGACCAGCUGGAAAAAGGAUGGACCACUGUAGCCUAGAGCAUUAGCUGUUUCACUACCCAGGGCCGGAGGCCAGGAGGAGAAACAGAAUCCUAUAUGUGUGUAUCCUAUACGUGUAAAUGCUGUUGGUAACAGAGCAAUAUUCCAGUUCUGUCUGUGCGUAUUCUUUGGUACGUGUUUCUCCUGUCUUCCUCUUUUGUACUUGCCAGUCAUAUACUCUGUAAUUUUGCUUUCAGAGUCUGCCUUAGAAGAGACCUAUGCCAUUUUUGCCUGGAGCUGAAUAACUAUUAAGUUGCACCCCCGCUGGCUGCUUGCUUGAAGGUAGGGAUGUGCCAACAAACCCCGCUUCCCAGGGGCUUUUUGGCAGAGCACGCUCGACUUUCUGCUGUGUUCUUCAUGACAAGCUACUCUUGGUCACAUACGGCCCACGUAUGAGGGACCUGAGCCAACAAAAAUUGCCAGGACCUACUGCAUUCUUCAAAGCUUAGGGCACCAGAGUACGAAUCGACAGCAAACACCCUAAUCCCUUACCAACACAUUGGGUGGCAAAACCCACAGCAGUUGCCUGUAGUGUUGAUGUGAUUCAAGCCCAUACUGUUUAAUUUAUCUUUGUGCACCCAAAGUCAUGAUAUCUAACAGUACCGACAGUUAAGAGUCUCAUUUGCUGAUUCAUCAACAAAUUAUAAGAAUAAAAAGAAAACUAUGUGAAGAGAAAGAUGAUUUUGUUGAGCAGCUCUAAUCUUGGCUGUUUUCCUUGGCUUUAAACUUUGAAUUUUACCAGUUAUAUGUUAAAUGCUCUGCUUCACUUCUUUGUAUCCAGACAGAAAGAAAUGGUUUGUAAAAAAUGUGCUAUGUGGGUAAUGUAGAAUUUUUCUCCUCUGGGGAAUCCAUCAGUGAGGAUGUUUACUAUGUAUUUAUGAGGUCCCUUGCAGAUCUUUAGACUAGGCUUUCAGAUGUUCAUUCUCUUGGACUUUUUAUUGCUAACAUUUAUUCUUCUUUUAAUGGUGAGCUCUCAGAAGAAUGCAGAGGGCUCGGUUCAAACUCCAGGCAAAUCUUACAUCACUUUUGGCUUGCAACUGGGCUCCACACAGGACUCAGCAAGAUUUCAUUCAGCCUUUUCUGUAGUGUUGGUUACAGUUCUCGAGAGGGGCAGGGAAAAUUACUUUUGGCUUUAACGUUCUGUAUUAGUUAGUCUGUGAUUUGCUUGUUCCAGAGGCUGGAUAUUAUCUUUGAUACUAUAUUAUUCUGUAAAGUAACGCUGAGUGCAAGAGAGAGUGACAGAGCAUCUCUCAUGCUACCCCUGAUUCAUUGCAUGUACUUCUGCGAGGCAAUGAAAUACUUUGGUCAUGUCAAAACCGCUAAUUUCUAGAUAGUAGCUAAUAUCUAAAUACUAGAUAUUACGUGACAAGUUUGAAGGCCAGAAGGUAAUGUUCAGGGUUGAUGUCUGUACUCAGAGAAAUAAUCUUCUGGAAGCCAAUGUAACUUUACGUGCGAGUGAGGAGAAUUUGCAUGACUGUAAACUCAAGAAUGGGCUGUUAUUCAAGUACAAGAAUAAAUGAGAAAGGUUAAAAAAACUUUUUUUA